AGUAAAUGGGGAUGACGCUGUUCAAAGUACCCCACCUCCAAUAGGCACAACACGAACGCCUGAGAACGGAAAAGGUCUGGCGGGAGGCGCCAUUGCGGGGAUCGUAAUAGGUUGCCUGCUGCUGGUCGCUGUUCUGGGGUUCGUGGGCUACUCUUAUCGCGACAGAUUGCUCACCACCGUGCGACCCUCUUCAAACGCUGGUCCCCCAUUUGUGACCGUGCAAGAGACCAAGACAGAGGGAGAAGAUGACAGUCAGCACUCUACGGUGUAGGCAUCACACGCGCUUGUGCUUUUAUCUUUAUUACAAAUUUAAAACAAGCAAUCAGAGAAUGCAUAGGAAACAAAGUUGAAAACAAGCUGUCGAAGAAACAAGCUAAACAUCCUUAAUAGUGUCUGUCUGUUCAUUUUCUAACAAUCUUAACAAUGUGUCAGGUGACAAUGUUGAUACCAUUCGUCCCUGGAUAUGAUACCGUUGCCUCAGCCUUGGCUUCUUAAUGACUAUGAACAAUAUAAAUUAUGAGUGUUCCCUUUUUUUCCUAGCCCCUUAUAUAUUCUUGCGCAACACUUCCUUUUCUCUCAGUUUCAGCGUACAAAUGAAAAUAGGUAUGUUUAGUUAGUGUUUUUAGAAUAAAUAUGCAUUCAGAUCCAUACGCUACCAAUUGAUUUUCAAUCUAAAAUAUUACUUAUUUUCUAGAGAAAAUAAAAUAAAGAUCAAGUAAUUUAUGAAAAUUAUAUUUGGUUAAGUUUUAGCGAAUGUUGUCUGCUCUAAUUUAUUGCUUGCAGGUAUAUUUUCAUGGAAAACGUUUAUUCUGACCUCCCACGUUUGAGUUAUCUUGAAUACGUAACGAAAUAUCAAGUCUCAGCCAUGCCUAAGCAUAUAUAGGCCCCGAUAAUUGCUCUUUCCUAUUUAUGAUCAUCACUGCGGGAACCGGGGAUUCUUCCCGUUUAAAAUAAAAUAUUCAUUUGAAAUAACAAAUGAAUCUAAUU
Hyalella azteca is the source of this 987-nucleotide long non-coding RNA. RefSeq lists it as uncharacterized. The record is from RefSeq and is a predicted model, not a curated record. Lineage: Eukaryota; Metazoa; Arthropoda; Malacostraca; Amphipoda; Hyalellidae. The transcript has 3 exons.